ACAGGUGCUGCAUGGCUGUCGUCAGCUCGUGCCGUGAGGUGUUGGGUUAAGUCCCGCAACGAGCGCAACCCUUAUCCUUUGUUGCCAUCGGGUAAUGCCGGGCACUCUAAGGAAACUGCCGGCGAUGAGCUGGAGGAAGGUGGGGACGACGUCAAGUCAUCAUGGCCCUUACGUCCAGGGCUACACACGUGCUACAAUGGCUGCUACAGAGGGCUGCAAGACCGCGAGGUGGAGCCAAUCCCUAAAAGUAGUCUCAGUUGGGAUCAGAGUCUGCAACUCGACUCUGUGAACGUGGAAUCGCUAGUAAUCGCAGAUCAGCUACGCUGCGGUGAAUACGUUCCCGGGCCUUGUACACACCGCCCGUCACACCACGAAAGUCUGUUGAACCCGAAGCAGGUGAGCCAACCUGCAAAGGAGGCAGCUCACGAAGGUAUGGUAGGCGAUUGGGGUGAAGUCGUAACAAGGUAACC
Molecule: ribosomal RNA, 470 nt
Filed under: uncultured Nitrospirota bacterium
Lineage: Bacteria; Pseudomonadati; Nitrospirota
Description: bacterial SSU rRNA
Rfam family: Bacterial small subunit ribosomal RNA
Source: RNAcentral